Molecule: ribosomal RNA, 161 nt
Filed under: uncultured bacterium
Lineage: Bacteria
Description: partial 16S rRNA
Rfam family: Bacterial small subunit ribosomal RNA
Source: RNAcentral
GGAAUCUUCCACAAUGGACGCAAGUCUGAUGGAGCAACGCCGCGUGAGUGAAGAAGGGUUUCGGCUCGUAAAGCUCUGUUGUUAAAGAAGAACGUGGGUAAGAGUAACUGUUUACCCAGUGACGGUAUUUAACCAGAAAGCCACGGCUAACUACUUGCAAG